Molecule: ribosomal RNA, 465 nt
Filed under: uncultured bacterium
Lineage: Bacteria
Description: partial 16S ribosomal RNA
Rfam family: Bacterial small subunit ribosomal RNA
Source: RNAcentral
GACGAACGCUGGAGGCGUGCUUAACACAUGCAAGUCGAACGGAAAGGCCCUGCUUGCAGGGUACUCGAGUGGCGAACGGGUGAGUAACACGUGGGUGAUCUGCCCUGCACUUCGGGAUAAGCCUGGGAAACUGGGUCUAAUACCGGAUAGGAGCCAUUUUUAGUGUGAUGGUUGGAAAGUUUUUUCGGUGUAGGAUGAGCUCGCGGCCUAUCAGCUUGUUGGUGGGGUAAUGGCCUACCAAGGCGGCGACGGGUAGCCGGCCUGAGAGGGUGGACGGCCACAUUGGGACUGAGAGACGGCCCAGACUCCUACGGGAGGCAGCAGGGGGGAAUAUUGCACAAUGGGCGCCAGCCUGAUGCAGCGACGCCGCGGGGGGGAUGACGGCCUUCGGGUUGAAAACUCCUUUCGCUAGGGACGAAGCUUUUUGUGACGGUACCUAGAUAAGAAGCACCGGCUAACUACGUG